This 544-nucleotide long non-coding RNA is filed under the name Nicotiana benthamiana. RNAcentral's name for it is "long non-coding RNA (NBEN_LNC007891)". The record is from RNAcentral. Lineage: Eukaryota; Viridiplantae; Streptophyta; Magnoliopsida; Solanales; Solanaceae.
UUUUGCGCCACUUUACACCACUUAUGCCUACCAAGCGGAUACAUUCUUCCCGGGAUUUAGAAAGAGUUAUAGGAAGCUAGCUCGUAAUGCUCUAGUCUUAUGUUUCGCCCGAGGCUUAUUUGAGGUUUGGAGUUACGCUUGCUUUCCUCAGUCAGACUUACGGGAUGAGGAAGGGAUAUUGAAAUUGCGGAGCUUUCCUAUCGUAAUGCUCUAGUCUUAUGUUUCGCCCGAGGCUUAUUUGAGGUUUGGAGUUACGCUUGCUUUCCUCAGUCAGACUUACGGGAUGAGGAAGGGAUAUUGAAAUUGCGGAACUUUCCUAACUACCUGUUGUAUCAUUUCUUUACUUGUUAUCCCGUUAUAUUUUUUGGCUAAAGCAGCUUAUCUUCCGCUAGCGGAUAAAGUAGUUAAUCCCUAAGAAGCUAGAUAGUGAGCUUAUGGCUUACUUGCCUUUUUCCUUAAGAAAGAAUCGAAGAGUGGAUGCUCUGCCUGAGUUAGACCCCCUUAUUAGUGUAUUCUAAGUCCUGGUUGUAUCCAUUAUAGGCGG